Molecule: ribosomal RNA, 424 nt
Filed under: uncultured bacterium
Lineage: Bacteria
Description: partial 16S ribosomal RNA
Rfam family: Bacterial small subunit ribosomal RNA
Source: RNAcentral
AAUAUUGGACAAUGGGCGAAAGCCUGAUCCAGCCAUGCCGCGUGUGUGAAGAAGGUCUUCGGAUUGUAAAGCACUUUAUGUUGGGAGUAAGGGCAGGAAGCGAAUACGUUGCAGUUUGUACGUUACCGAGAGAAUAAGCACACGCACACGCUGGCCCAGCAGCCGCGGUAAGACAGCGGGUGUAAGCGUUAAUCGGAAUUACUUGGCGUAAAGCGCUCGUAGGUGGUUCGUUAAGUUGGAUGUGAAAUCCCCGGGCUCAACCUGGGAACUGCAUCCAAAACUGGCGAGCUAGAGUAGGGCAGAGGGUGGUGGAAUUUCCUGUGUAGCGGUGAAAUGCGUAGAUAUAGGAAGGAACACCAGUGGCGAAGGCGACCACCUGGGCUCAUACUGACACUGAGGUGCGAAAGCGUGGGGAGCAAACAGG